CAAAGAUGCAAACUAUCUAUGACGGCAUCACCCAGGGAUCUUGCUUACUUCAUCAUCCAAAUAUUAUUUUAGAUAUCUCAGAUCCAUGGGGACAAGGUUAUGCUCUGACUCACUGAACCAGUGAAAAUAAAUCGGAUGCUUUCAAUCUGCUGAGGUCAUUUGGGGAAUCUACACAAUCAACGUUGCAGUGUGUAUGGACUCUCCCUCCGCUAUGCUCUUCAGGGACACAGUCUUCUUAUUUGGGGGGCUGCCACAGCACCAGUGGACCUAGUCUGGAGGCAAUUAUAGCCACAUCUACCCAGAGGAUGCCUACUAAAGGAAGGGGCUGUGCUCCAGGAACUUGUGCUGCCAAGAAACACAGAGGGCCUUCACAGCCAAGAAAAUGUAAGGCUCCUGCCCAGCAUGUGAGAAGGGCAGGGGAGAAAGGAACGGCUUUUUCUCCGCGGCUGACAAGUAUCCGCCCAGAACUCAGACGAAAAUGCGCGACAGGCCCCCUCCUUCCCCCUGGUGUGGGUGUGGGCUGGAGGGAUGACAAGCUGAAAAGCAUCAAUAGUGUGGCCUGAGUUUGGCUCACGUGUCUCCUCUACUGGAAUUCUAGAACAAUCCCACCCCUGGGAUCCAGAGCUGUCUGUGGGCACUUGGUCCUUGCCAGAUGCCGACCACCCACCUUCCUCUCCCCCACCUUUCCUUUUCACUCUCUCCCCUCCCCUCUCCUCCUGUUCCCACCUUGCCCUUUUCCUCUCCCUCCCCUCUUCUCCCCUUCCUUUGC
Peromyscus maniculatus bairdii (prairie deer mouse) is the source of this 769-nucleotide non-coding RNA. NCBI's taxonomy places the organism in Eukaryota, Metazoa, Chordata, Mammalia, Rodentia, Cricetidae. The record is from RefSeq and is a predicted model, not a curated record.